RNAcentral lists this long non-coding RNA (726 nucleotides) under Fukomys damarensis (Damara mole-rat). RNAcentral's name for it is "lncRNA (ENSFDAG00000030780.1)". Lineage: Eukaryota; Metazoa; Chordata; Mammalia; Rodentia; Bathyergidae. The record is from RNAcentral.
CAGCCGUCUCCAGAGCCAUGGCAGCAGAUCCAGCCCAGGGCUGUCCCACUGUGUCCCUGAGACGACAGCUGCCUGCUUGUGAAUAGAAAACUCGUACAGCGUGGCACCCACAUUUCCUCAUGGUCAGAUAUUCUGUGCGCUAUUGUUUGCCAAAAUUAUAACAAAAAGAUGCAUUCUUGCGAUUUUAUAGCAGCCGGAGGAGGGAGAAAUAGCCUCCUCUAUUGUCACCACCACCAAAACGUAGCCUGGUCAUCCCUCCUGCUUUCCCAGCUAGAAGUCUAGAAGAUUCUCUGCUCUCCAUCAUUAGGCUUAGAAAUCGCCAAAAUGCUCCGAAGGUCGAGAGAGGAGUGGGAGCAACCCCAGGGCGGGUCCAGCCUCCUGCUCCACACAACCGGCCCACUCUUGACUUUGACAGCCCUCACCCCACCUCCCCGUCACCCCGCAACACCUGUCGCUCCCACACACGCCCUGCGCUGUUCUGCUUUGUUCCCUCUGCUUGAGUGGCAGCCCCUUAACCCUCUGCCAAAUGCCAGAAGCGCCCGGCAUUCCUGCAGGCCUGGCUCGAAUCCCACUCCUUCUGGGAGGGCUCAGCUCCAAACAGGCCCAGAUUCCACCAAGGCCACUGGCAGCAAACCAGAAGUGUGGUGUUGGAAUCUAACUAGAAAAGAGGACGGUGCUAGAGAAGGAAAAAAGACCAGCUGAUUCCUGGGUAGGUCUAGAGCCAAC